Myotis lucifugus (little brown bat) is the source of this 119-nucleotide small nucleolar RNA. The record is from Ensembl. Lineage: Eukaryota; Metazoa; Chordata; Mammalia; Chiroptera; Vespertilionidae.
AAGACUUUUAAAAAAUCUGCAAUGAUCAAGCAGGAGCCUAAAGAAAUAUCUUUCUAUGGUCUGUUGGUCAUUUCAGAACUUAGGAAAUGUAAUGGUCAAUUCAUUAGAAAGAAACAUCU